Molecule: long non-coding RNA, 3311 nt
Organism: Cavia porcellus (domestic guinea pig)
Lineage: Eukaryota; Metazoa; Chordata; Mammalia; Rodentia; Caviidae
Exons: 2
Source: RefSeq, a predicted model, not a curated record
CAGAAGAAGAGUAUUUCCCAAAGAAACAUAAGCAUUAUAUUGUUGAAAACUGUGAACAAAUGAGCUAAUGAAAAUCUUUUAAAUUUUUCAGGAUGAGAGAGACACAGAGAAAGACGAAGAACUAGAACUGAAAAGAAGUCUUUUGUACAGAGACUGUGCCUAUGACAGUGACCCUGAGUACAGCUCAUAUCAGCGGCCACAUGGCAACCUCCAUUUGGAUGAUGGUGAAUACUGGUCCAACAGGGCGUCCUCCUAUAAAGGAAAAUCCCACCGACCCAUCUUUGAGAACAGCAUGGACAAGAUGUAUAGGAACUUAUACAAAAAGGCCUGUGGCUCUGUUUCGCACACACAGGAAACCUUCUGAGACUAUCCACGAUAAACUAUGAGUGUCCAUGUCACCCUCUCAAUGAAAAUGUUUGAUGUGAUCAAUGUCUGCACUCCUUUUUUAAAAAUAAGUGGUUCUUUAAGUAGUAAGACUUGAAUCAUUUCUUACUGCAAAAUGAUAAAUUAUUAUUAUUAUGUCUUUAUUACAGAAGAAUGUGCUGUGUUUCAAAUAUCAAAGCUCCACAGUACAAUCACAACUUCUGAUCUGUGACAAGGGUGUCCCCUCACAUGUAUCUCACACCGCCAUCUACAAACUAAAGAACAGAUUCUCUAGAAAAGCUCUCCUGUUUUAAUUACUUUGUAAUUAUCUUUUCAACUGCUUGACUGAUUAUCUUAUGUGGAUAAGGUAUAAUUAAUAUUAAUUCCCUUUUCUUGAUAAUCAGGAAAAAAUCUAUUGAGAAAUGAAUUUCCUAGGAGUUUAAACCAUUUUAAUUGUGUUUUCUAGUUUUCUGUCCCUCAGAAAAGGCUAUUUGUAUUUCUUAGCUCAUAAUAAAUAGCUUUCUUAUUAAAUGUUUCACUUUGAAUAUAAUGCAGGCAUUCACUCCUCUGGAAGAACUGCUUCAGUUACCUAAAUACAUAACUGUUAACUAGAAAUAACUGUUAACUGUGAAUCCAAAAUGUGAAUGCCUUUUUCUUUUUUUAGAAUUCUUACAGAUUUUCUUCUAUGGCCAUGCCUUUUUGUACUAUACAAUGAAAAUAGUUUUUGUUAGUAAGUGUAUAGAAAUUGCAAAAAGAAAAAAAAAAGGGAAUUACAUUAUAAUUUAACCUUUUUGACAUUAUCAUAGGUAUCAUAAUGCCCAAGAAAGUCGAAACCUCACUUUGAAUAACAUAAUACAGUGGAGUGCUUUUUAGUAGGCAUUUCAAAAUCUGUUGGUAGUUUGACAAAAUUAGUUUUUUCUUCCUCUGAAGACAGUGAUACUUAAGGUCUAAAGAAAUCAGUUACCAUGUUUACCAGAGGAUGAGAAGAGAAAACCAGAAAUAAAUGUAGUUUGCUUUUAAGAUUGAAGAGCUGACUACAAGAUAGUAUUUUAUUGGUUGAUUCUACAGUUAUAAGUUAGAAAGAAAACAAUUGACUUGCACUUCAUUUAAAUUGAAAUUAAAAUGUAAAAUUGGUUACAUUGUUGGGAAAAAUAUAUUUGUUAUCCAAUGAUAGACCAUGUAAAUAUCGUAUUAAGAAUGUUUUUUGAGUUGUCGGUAGGAUGACAGCAAUGAAAAGGGAUGCUACAAAUGUGGGCAGCCAGGGAGAGUCUGGCGUGUUAGGGCGAAGUAUAAUACAGCACGUUAGAGGCUUUAAGAAAUCAUGGUGUCAACCUAUGCUGGUAUCCAAUAAAGAGUCUGGCACAUAAUUGAUAGCCACCACUCUUUGUUCUCCCAGCUGCCCGUUUCUUCAACUCAGAAUGCCGUUCUCAGGUACAUGUGGACACUGACUGUCAAAAUGCAGGACCGUAUGACCACUGAGUUAUCCUCUGGCUGAGGGUUAUGUGAUGAUAUUCUGCACAGUAUGCUUGUAAAGGUUAUUACUGAGCAUAGUAAGCAUAUUCUCAAUGAAAAUUAAUGUGUUUUUCUGUGGGAAAAAAUUUUUAAAAGUCCUCCAUUUAAAAGUUGCCACUGAUGAAACAAGUGACUAUGUUCAUCCCAGAAAAUAUUCUAUUACAAAAAGUCUCCUAAGUAAUUAAGCACCGCAAAAAUUACUUGUUGUAUGUAUAUCUGCUAUUACCUAUGGAAACAGCCAUGAAAAGUAAGACAGACAGAGAGAGAGAGAGAGAGAGAGAGAGAGAGAGAGAGAGAGAGAGAGCGCUUUGUAAACUAAUACUGUGAAAGACAUCUUUUUCUAUAAAUUAAAUUUCGCAUCCUUGUGAAGGAUGGGGCAGAUUCCCAGGUAUCUGGCAUCUCUGCUGUGUGUGUGAUCAUCUUCCCUUUUUAGGGGAAGGAUUGAUCGUUAUUGUUCAGUCACUUUGAAUUCUUAUGUUGUAUCGUUUUGAAAGAGUAAACCUUUAAGUACUAAUGAUUGUAUUUUCUCAUCCAUAGAAGCAAUUGUUUAUUCUCUUAUAUAUUUUUUUCUAUAUUUGUCAUAGGCCUGAUAAUAACCAUUGGACUUUGUAAGAAAGAUAGUUCUUUUUCAUCUUUCAAUAUAUUUUUCUUUAUAUAAACAAACAGAAAUUUUAGUAAAGGAAAAUGUUAAAUUUAACAAAGAAAUAAGGGUGUUAUUCCUUAUUUACAUAAGGUUACAUAAGGAAGAUCAGUCCUUCUGUAACCUUAUGUCCCUUAUUCCUCUUGAAAUUUACUUUUUUCACAUAAAAGGAGAUAAAGGGGAUAAUUUGAAAUGAUAUUUUAACAUUCCAUCAUUUUUACAAUUGUGUAAUUAAUGCAGAUGAUCAAGCAAUCUUGGGUAAAUAAUUGUGAUCUGAUUUCAGAGAUUAAGUUCCUGAUUAAGAAUUAGGUGCAUGGGCUGGGGAUUUGGCUCAGUGGCACAAGCGCCUACCUUGCAAGUGCGCAGUCAUGAGUUCAAUCCCUGGUACCGAUAAAAAAAAAAAAAAAGAAUUAGGUGCAGAUGGAGAAUUUUCAUCAUUUAUUUACUAACAAUAGCUGUAUUGAGAUAGAAUUAAUUUUAUUAAAGUAUAUAAUUAACUGGUUUUUGCUGUAUUCUGUGUUUUAUAACCAUAACCACUAAAUAAUUACAGAAUAUUUAUCACCCUAAAUAAAUUCUGAACCUAAUAGCAAUCAGUUCCCAUUUUCUAUUCCCUCAGCUCCUGGAAAGUACUAAACUACUUUCUUCUCUAUUCUGGACAUUUCAUGUAAAUGGAAUCAUAUGUGACCAGCCGUGUCUGUCUGCUUUCAUUUAGCAUAAUUGAUAUUUCAGGAUUUGUCUACCUUGUAAUGUACUAAAUGCCUUUUUUAAAUUACUAAAUAACCAUUUUAUGAACAUA